UAAUUGGAGAGUUUGAUCCUGGCUCAGGACGAACGCUGGCGGCGUGCCUAAUACAUGCAAGUCGAGCGGAGUCAUUUUGAAAGCUUGCUUUCAAAAUGACUUAGCGGCGGACGGGUGAGUAACACGUAGGCAACCUGCCCCUUAGACUGGGAUAACUACCGGAAACGGUAGCUAAUACCUGAUAAUUUCUUUUUUCUCCUGAAGAAAGAAUGAAAGACGGAGCAAUCUGUCACUGCGGGAUGGGCC
RNAcentral lists this ribosomal RNA (246 nucleotides) under Salmonella enterica subsp. enterica serovar Kentucky. RNAcentral's name for it is "partial 16S ribosomal RNA". It matches the Rfam family "Bacterial small subunit ribosomal RNA", at positions 1 to 231 of the family's 1533-position model. The record is from RNAcentral. Lineage: Bacteria; Pseudomonadati; Pseudomonadota; Gammaproteobacteria; Enterobacterales; Enterobacteriaceae.